UGGGGAAUAUUGGACAAUGGGGGCAACCCUGAUCCAGCAAUGCCGCGUGUGUGAAGAAGGUCUUCGGAUUGUAAAGCACUUUCGACGGGGACGAUGAUGACGGUACCCGUAGAAGAAGCCCCGGCUAACUUCGUGCCAGCAGCCGCGGUAAUACGAAGGGGGCUAGCGUUGCUCGGAAUGACUGGGCGUAAAGGGCGUGUAGGCGGUUUGUACAGUCAGAUGUGAAAUCCCCGGGCUUAACCUGGGAGCUGCAUUUGAUACGUGCAGACUAGAGUGUGAGAGAGGGUUGUGGAAUUCCCAGUGUAGAGGUGAAAUUCGUAGAUAUUGGGAAGAAUCACCGGUGGCGAAGGCGGCAACCUGGCUC
RNAcentral lists this ribosomal RNA (364 nucleotides) under uncultured Acetobacter sp. Its description in RNAcentral is "bacterial SSU rRNA". It matches the Rfam family "Bacterial small subunit ribosomal RNA", at positions 355 to 735 of the family's 1533-position model. Lineage: Bacteria; Pseudomonadati; Pseudomonadota; Alphaproteobacteria; Acetobacterales; Acetobacteraceae. The record is from RNAcentral.